This 873-nucleotide ribosomal RNA is filed under the name uncultured bacterium. RNAcentral describes it as "bacterial SSU rRNA". It matches the Rfam family "Bacterial small subunit ribosomal RNA", at positions 8 to 879 of the family's 1533-position model. The record is from RNAcentral.
AGAGUUUGAUCCUGGCUCAGAUUGAACGCUGGCGGCAUGCUUUACACAUGCAAGUCGAACGGUAACAGGCCGCAAGGUGCUGACGAGUGGCGAACGGGUGAGUAAUGCAUCGGAACGUGCCCAGUCGUGGGGGAUAACGCAGCGAAAGCUGCGCUAAUACCGCAUACGAUCUAUGGAUGAAAGCGGGGGACCGUACGGCCUCGCGCGAUUGGAGCGGCCGAUGUCAGAUUAGGUAGUUGGUGGGGUAAAGGCUCACCAAGCCGACGAUCUGUAGCUGGUCUGAGAGGACGACCAGCCACACUGGGACUGAGACACGGCCCAGACCCCUACGGGAGGCAGCAGUGGGGAAUUUUGGACAAUGGGCGCAAGCCUGAUCCAGCAAUGCCGCGUGCAGGAAGAAGGCCUUCGGGUUGUAAACUGCUUUUGUACGGAACGAAAAGGCUCUGGUUAAUACCUGGGGUUGAUGACGGUACCGUAAGAAUAAGCACCGGCUAACUACGUGCCAGCAGCCGCGGUAAUACGUAGGGUGCAAGCGUUAAUCGGAAUUACUGGGCGUAAAGCGUGCGCAGGUGGUCAUGUAAGACAGAUGUGAAAUCCCCGGGCUUAACCUGGGAAUUGCAUUUGUGACUGCAUGGCUAGAGUGUGGCAGAGGGGGAUGGAAUUCCGCGUGUAGCAGUGAAAUGCGUAGAUAUGCGGAGGAACACCGAUGGCGAAGGCAGUCCCCUGGGCCUGCACUGACACUCAUGCACGAAAGCGUGGGGAGCAAACAGGAUUAGAUACCCUGGUAGUCCACGCCCUAAACGAUGUCGACUGGUUGUUGGGAGGGUUCCCUCUCAGUAACGUAGCUAACGCGUGAAGUCGACCGCCUGGGGA